CCUACGGGUGGCAGCAGUGGGGAAUAUUGGGCAAUGGGCGCAAGCCUGACCCAGCAACGCCGCGUGAAGGAAGAAGGCUUUCGGGUUGUAAACUUCUUUUCUCAGGGACGAAGCAAGUGACGGUACCUGCGGAAUAAGCCACGGCUAACUACGUGCCAGCAGCCGCGGUCAUACGUAGGUGGCAAGCGUUAACCGGAUUUACUGGGUUUAAAGGGCGUGUAGGGGGGAAAGCAAGGCAGAUGUGAAAACCAUGGGCUCAAACUGUGGCCUGUAUUUGAAACUGUUUUUCUUGAGUACUGGAGAGGCAGACGGAAUGCCUAGUGUAGCGGUGAAAUGCGUAGAUAUUAGGAAGAACGCCAGUGGCGAAGGCAGUCUGCUGGACAGCAACUGACGCUGAGGCGCGAAAGCGUGGGGAUCAAACAGGAUUAGAUACCCCAGUAGUC
Molecule: ribosomal RNA, 443 nt
Filed under: uncultured bacterium
Lineage: Bacteria
Description: partial 16S ribosomal RNA
Rfam family: Bacterial small subunit ribosomal RNA
Source: RNAcentral